CCUACGGGAGGCAGCAGUGAGGAAUAUUGGUCACUGGGCUUACGCCUGAACCAGCCAAGUCGCGUGAGGGAAGACUGCCCUAUGGGUUGUCACCCUCUUUUGUCAGGGAGCAACGCCGGCUACGUGUAGCCGGACUGAGAGUACCUGAAGAAAACGCAUCGGCUAACGCCGUGCCAGCAGCCGCGGUAAUCAGGAGGAUGCGAGCGUUAUCCGGCUUUAUUGGGUUUAAAGGGUGCGUAGGCGGAAUGCCAAGUGAGCGGUAAAGUCGCGGGUCUCAAACUCGAUCCGCCGUUGAACCUGGCGUUCUUGUGUGGGCGAGAGGUAUGCGGAAUGCGUGGUGUAGCGGUGAAAUGCAUAGAUAGCACGCAGAAUUCCGAUUGCGAAGGCAGCAUACCGGCGCCCAACUGACGCUGAAGCACGAAAGCGUGGGUAUCGAACAGGAUUAGAUACCCUUGUAGUC
This 460-nucleotide ribosomal RNA is filed under the name uncultured bacterium. RNAcentral's name for it is "partial 16S ribosomal RNA". It matches the Rfam family "Bacterial small subunit ribosomal RNA", at positions 338 to 795 of the family's 1533-position model. The record is from RNAcentral.